RNAcentral lists this ribosomal RNA (478 nucleotides) under uncultured bacterium. Its description in RNAcentral is "partial 16S ribosomal RNA". It matches the Rfam family "Bacterial small subunit ribosomal RNA", at positions 28 to 523 of the family's 1533-position model. The record is from RNAcentral.
GACGAACGCUGGCGGCGUGCUUAACACAUGCAAGUCGAACGGUAAGGCCCUUCGGGGUACACGAGUGGCGAACGGGUGAGUAACACGUGGGUGAUCUGCCCUGCACUUCGGGAUAAGCAUGGGAAACUGGGUCUAAUACCGGAUAGGACCACUGCAUGCAUGGGGGGUGGUGGAAAGCUUUUGCGGUGUGGGAUGGGCCCGCGGCCUAUCAGCUUGUUGGGGGGGUGAUGGCCUACCAAGGCGACGACGGGUAGCCGGCCUGAGAGGGUGACCGGCCACACUGGGACUGAGAUACGGCCCAGACUCCUACGGGAGGCAGCAGUGGGGAAUAUUGCACAAUGGGCGCAAGCCUGAUGCAGCGACGCCGCGUGAGGGAUGACGGCCUUCGGGUUGUAAACCUCUUUCAGCACCGACGAAGCGCAAGUGACGGUAGGUGCAGAAGAAGGACCGGCCAACUACGUGCCAGCCGCCGCAGUAA